GUCCACGCCGUAACGAUGGAUGCCAGCCGUUGGCAAGCAUGCUUGUCAGUGGCGCAGCUAACGCAUUAAGCAUCCCGCCUGGGAGUACGGCCGCAAGGUUGAAACUCAAAGGAAUUGACGGGGCCCGCACAAGCGGUGGAGCAUGUGGUUUAAUUCGACGCAACGCGCAGAACCUUACCAGGGUUUGACAUCCUGUGCUCACCUCAGAAAUGGGGUUUCCCCGCAAAGGGGCGCAGAGACAGGUGCUGCAUGGCUGUCGU
Molecule: ribosomal RNA, 260 nt
Filed under: uncultured bacterium
Lineage: Bacteria
Description: partial 16S ribosomal RNA
Rfam family: Bacterial small subunit ribosomal RNA
Source: RNAcentral